UACAGAGGGUGCGAGCGUUAAUCGGAAUUACUGGGCGUAAAGCGCACGUAGGUGGCGACGUAAGUCGGGUGUGAAAGCCCCGGGCUCAACCUGGGAAUUGCAUUCGAGACUGCAUUGCUGGAGUACGGAAGAGGAGGGCGGAAUUCCCGGUGUAGCGGUGAAAUGCGUAGAUAUCGGGAGGAACAUCAGUGGCGAAGGCGGCCUUCUGGUCCAGUACUGACACUCAAGUGCGAAAGCGUGGGGAGCAAACAGG
This 253-nucleotide ribosomal RNA is filed under the name uncultured bacterium. Its description in RNAcentral is "partial 16S ribosomal RNA". It matches the Rfam family "Bacterial small subunit ribosomal RNA", at positions 524 to 776 of the family's 1533-position model. The record is from RNAcentral.